RNAcentral lists this ribosomal RNA (1458 nucleotides) under uncultured bacterium. RNAcentral's name for it is "bacterial SSU rRNA". It matches the Rfam family "Bacterial small subunit ribosomal RNA". The record is from RNAcentral.
AUGAACGUUGGCGGCGCGCUUAACACAUGCAAGUCGAGCGAGAACGCUUCUUCGGAAGCUAUUAAAGCGGCGGACGGGUGAGUAACGCGUAAGAAUCUACCCUUCAGUGAAGAAUACCUGCGAGAAAUCGUAGUUAAUGCUGCAUACGUCCCCUCGGGGAGAAAGAUGGCCUCUUUGCUGUCGCUGAAGGAUGAGCUUGCGUACUAUUAGCUUGUUGGUGGGGUAAAGGCCUACCAAGGCAAUGAUAGUUAGCCGGCCUGAGAGGGUGAUCGGCCACACUGGAACUUAGACACGGUCCAGACUCCUACGGGAGGCAGCAGUGAGGAAUUUUGCGCAAUGGGCGAAAGCCUGACGCAGCGACGCCGCGUGAAGGAUGAAGGCUUUAGAGUCGUAAACUUCUGUUGAGUAGGAAGAAAGACCUUUCUUUAAUAGAGAAAGGGGAUGACGGUACUACUUUAGAAAGCACCGGCUAAUCUCGUGCCAGCAGCCGCGGUAAUACGAGAGGUGCAAAUGUUAUUCGGAAUCAUUGGGCGUAAAGGGUGCGUAGGCGGCCCGUUAAGUUUGUCGUUAAAGACCCCGGCCUAACCGGGGAACAGCGAUGAAAACUGGCAGGCUAGAGAAUGGAAGAGAGAAGUGGAAUUCUCGGAGUAGCGGUAAAAUGCGUAGAUCUCGAGAGGAACACCGAUGGCGAAGGCAGCUUCUUGGUCCAUUUCUGACGCUGAGGCACGAAAGCGUGGGUAGCAAACAGGAUUAGAUACCCUAGUAGUCCACGCCGUAAACGAUGAUCACUAGAUGUCAGUCCCGCUUUAGGGAUUGGUGUCGGAGCUAACGCGUUAAGUGAUCCGCCUGGGGAGUACGGUCGCAAGAUUAAAACUCAAAGGAAUUGACGGGGGUCCGCACAAGCGGUGGAACAUGUGGUUUAAUUCGACAAUACGCGAGAAACCUUACCUAGAUUUGACAUGUAUUUGACCGCUGUGGAAACACAGUUUUCAAAGUUUACUUUGACAGAUACACAGGUGCUGCAUGGCUGUCGUCAGCUCGUGUCGUGAGAUGUUUGGUUAAGUCCUCUAACGAGCGCAACUCCUGUCUUUAGUUGCUAGCCUUUUGGCGCACUCUAAAGAGACUGCCUGGGAAACCAGGAGGAAGGUGGGAAUGACGUCAAGUCCUCAUGGUCCUUAUGUCUAGGGCUACACACGUGUUACAAUGGCUGUUACAAAGGGUUGCGAACCUGCAAAGGUAAGCUAAUCCCAUAAAAGCAGUCUAAGUUCGGAUUGAGGUCUGCAACUCGACCUCAUGAAGUUGAGAUCGCUAGUAAUCGCGUAUCAGAACGACGCGGUGAAUACGUUCUCGGACCUUGUACACACCGCCCGUCACACCACGAAAGUUGUUUGUACUCGAAUCUGUCUUAGCUAACCUUUUGGAGGCGGAUAGUUAAAGUAUGGAUGAUGAUUGGGGUGA